CUGUGAUCCGCUGCAUGGUUGAUGGACAGUGGGAGAAGCCUCGAGUGCAAUGCAUAGCCAAGGUCAAAUCCGGACUGCAAAAGGAAUCUUCUGUUUAUCACUCUCAUAAAUCUAAUACAACAACAUUGGAGAAACAUCUCUAAGGAGAUUUGAAGAGCUAGAGAUUCAUUUUUAAAUCAGUAUGAGUUUUAUAUUUAUUUUCCAAGACACUGAAUUAUGAAGCAUUUGUGAUUAAAAAGUGUUAUUUUCAAGA
Sinocyclocheilus grahami is the source of this 253-nucleotide long non-coding RNA. RefSeq lists it as uncharacterized. The transcript has 2 exons. The record is from RefSeq and is a predicted model, not a curated record. NCBI's taxonomy places the organism in Eukaryota, Metazoa, Chordata, Actinopteri, Cypriniformes, Cyprinidae.